RNAcentral lists this ribosomal RNA (253 nucleotides) under uncultured bacterium. Its description in RNAcentral is "partial 16S ribosomal RNA". It matches the Rfam family "Bacterial small subunit ribosomal RNA", at positions 524 to 776 of the family's 1533-position model. The record is from RNAcentral.
UACGGAGGGGGCUAGCGUUGUUCGGAAUUACUGGGCGUAAAGCGCACGUAGGCGGCUUUGUAAGUUAGAGGUGAAAGCCCAGGGCUUAACCCUGGAAUUGCCUUUAAGACUGCAUCGCUAGAAUCGUGGAGAGGUGAGUGGAAUUCCGAGUGUAGAGGUGAAAUUCGUAGAUAUUCGCAAGAACACCAGUGGCGAAAGCGGCUCACUGGACCAUAACUGACGCUGAUGCACGAAAGCUGGGGGAGCAAACAGG